Molecule: ribosomal RNA, 305 nt
Filed under: uncultured bacterium
Lineage: Bacteria
Description: bacterial SSU rRNA
Rfam family: Bacterial small subunit ribosomal RNA
Source: RNAcentral
UGCCUCCUACGGGGGGCAGCAGUGAGGAAUAUUGGUCAAUGGCCGGAAGGCUGAACCAGCCAAGUCGCGUGAGGGAAUAAGGCCCUAUGGGUCGUAAACCUCUUUUGUCAGGGAGCAAAGGCGUCCACGUGUGGACGAGAGGAGAGUACCUGAAGAAAAAGCAUCGGCUAACUCCGUGCCAGCAGCCGCGGUAAUACGGAGGAUGCGAGCGUUAUCCGGAUUUAUUGGGUUUAAAGGGUGCGUAGGCGGAGUGUCAAGUCAGCGGUCAAAGCCCGGGGCUCAACCCCGGCCCGCCGUUGAAACUG